AUUGAGAAACCUGCCCAUGACACCAAGUGUCCAAAAAUACAACUGGAGCUCACCAGAAAACACAGCUGGGAGAAAGACUUGUCAGCUGUGAACUCUUCACCUUCGCUGUUAGUCAUCGCCGACUCUCUCUGGCUAUUUCCAUAUUCAUCGACUUCAUUUGUAUGGUUCAUCUCACCAAAUUUCCACAGCAAACAAAACAGCGUUUGAAAGAGUCCUCUGAAUGUCUGGUAGCAUCUAGAGCUCCUGCUCGGCAUGAAAUAUUGAGAAGUGAACCUCGUUCCUCUUGCAUCUCAGCGGCUGUCUGAAGUACAAACAUUCAAAACACCUUCAGCAUUUCUGCAUGAUGGGUUUAUGAUCACACUAACAAGCAUGAAUGCUGUUGCAAACGAUAGUCAUCUUAAUUAUGCCGCCCGCUAAGAUACCUUCUUUUGUCCAAAUUCUAAGACAGCUUUACAUGAAUCUGUCAAGUGUUUUGGCAGAGCCGUGCUCGUGUCUGUGAGAGCCGGUGUCGGUGGAGGAAGUGCAGGUGACCCGCCGCGAUGCCAAGCUGCUCUGAGCAGGUGCUUUGCUUUUCCUCCUCCGUAACGGUCAUCUGGGCCUGCGGAGAGGCCUGGAUCCACACCAACACUGCACAAGAAACACCGCGUUCACUCUCCCUCACAUCCGACUGAAGCACGGCUCACAUUUCUACAGGAUAAUCACCGCUGUAAUGUAGACCGAGGUCAUUUGCAUCAUAGGAGGACGGCCGUGGCCUGAUUGCAGAUGCCAUCUCAUUCAGGUGAACAUGAUGAGAUUUGUAAACGUGUUCGAGCAUACAGUACGUGACCCCGGAUGUCCUUACAGUCGAGUCGUGUGUGUGUUUGCUCUGCAGCGACGGUAGAACCUCAUCCAGCACCGGCUCUCAAUAAUGCAUGAUUAAUUAGCAGACUCUGAAACAGGGCGAAACUAAAAGAGAGACUGGAAACGAGAGAAGCAAGGCAUCCCGAAGGGGAAAAUGCGUACGCUAAUACUGCAGCAUCAGCUUUGUCUGGUAAAUCGUGACUCUGUCUAAGCAGCGACCAGCACAAAGAAGAAAAUGAUAACUCUAUAUGCGAGCUGAAAGGCUUGCUGUGACACUCACACUGAAUCAUAGAAGCCACCUCAGAGUUUC
Long non-coding RNA from Cyprinus carpio carpio, 1150 nucleotides. NCBI's taxonomy places the organism in Eukaryota, Metazoa, Chordata, Actinopteri, Cypriniformes, Cyprinidae. The record is from Ensembl.